UACGUAGGUGGCAAGCGUUGUCCGGAAUCACUGGGCUUAAAGGGCGCGUAGGCGGGCGCACAAGUCAGGGGUGAAAGCCCACGGCUCAACCGUGGAAGGGCCUUUGAUACUGUGUGUCUUGAGGGAGGUAGGGGCGUGCGGAACUUCCGGUGGAGCGGUGAAAUGCGUAGAUAUCGGAAGGAACACCGGUGGCGAAAGCGGCGCGCUGGACCUCUUCUGACGCUGAGGCGCGAAAGCCAGGGGAGCAAACGGG
Molecule: ribosomal RNA, 253 nt
Filed under: uncultured bacterium
Lineage: Bacteria
Description: partial 16S ribosomal RNA
Rfam family: Bacterial small subunit ribosomal RNA
Source: RNAcentral